GACGAACGCUGGCGGCGUGCUUAACACAUGCAAGUCGAACGGAAAGGCCCUGCUUUUGUGGGGUGCUCGAGUGGCGAACGGGUGAGUAACACGUGAGUAACCUGCCCUUGACUUUGGGAUAACUUCAGGAAACUGGGGCUAAUACCGGAUAGGAGCUCCUGCUGCAUGGUGGGGGUUGGAAAGUUUCGGCGGUUGGGGAUGGACUCGCGGCUUAUCAGCUUGUUGGUGGGGUAGUGGCUUACCAAGGCUUUGACGGGUAGCCGGCCUGAGAGGGUGACCGGCGACAUUGGGACUGAGAUACGGCCCAGACUCCUACGGGAGGCAGCAGGGGGGAAUAUGGCACAAUGGGCGGAAGCCUGAUGCAGCAACGCCGCGGGCGGGAUGACGGCCUUCGGGUUGUAAACCGCUUUAGCCUGUGACGAAGCGUGAGUGACGGUAAUGGGUAAAGAAGCACCGGCUAACUACGUG
Molecule: ribosomal RNA, 468 nt
Filed under: uncultured bacterium
Lineage: Bacteria
Description: partial 16S ribosomal RNA
Rfam family: Bacterial small subunit ribosomal RNA
Source: RNAcentral